UGCCACGAAUGCUAAUAGUUCAUACACCAAUUUCUGAAAAUGGUCUAAGGUGUACAUGGAAGGUAUGAAGCAUGUAUAUAUAACUUCCUUUAUGCAGAUUGCGCCUCACUCUUGCAUAUCUUAUGCGCCAAAGUCCUAUGUAGGCAUAGCAAGUUGAAUCUCUACAGGUAAUAUACUGCUUGCAGUUUGCAGGGUUAAUUCAAAAUACAGCCAGUUUUAG
Molecule: unclassified non-coding RNA, 220 nt
Filed under: Hevea brasiliensis (rubber tree)
Lineage: Eukaryota; Viridiplantae; Streptophyta; Magnoliopsida; Malpighiales; Euphorbiaceae
Source: RNAcentral